Papilio xuthus (Asian swallowtail) is the source of this 690-nucleotide long non-coding RNA. RefSeq lists it as uncharacterized. The record is from RefSeq and is a predicted model, not a curated record. Lineage: Eukaryota; Metazoa; Arthropoda; Insecta; Lepidoptera; Papilionidae. The transcript has 3 exons.
AAUUACGAAACAAUACACGUGGAGUGAACCGUAUUACCCUUUGUCGAUUGCGGUCCAGACAAGAGAAAUACGUAAACCGAUACACGAUAUAUUGCCAGCAUUAUGUAGUGCGGCCCGUAAUUGAGUUAUCCAGCGAGUUAAUCCGAAUGAGUAGUUAUAUGGGCGAGUAGUUAGUGAUUAUAUUAGCUGGGAUACAUCACUUGCGUCCAGAAUGCAGCCCUCGUGCCGCUCCAAGCUUCUUCACAAAUCGAUUAUCUCUGGCCGUCUCGCAUUCCACGGAUAUCGUCUUGAUCUCGAUUCCUAUAGGAAGAUGUCAUAAUUAGAUGUGGCGGGACAGAAAUCGAGCGUGAAAUGGUUACCACACGGAGCAGUUGUCUCGUGAACAAACGAAAUAGCAGAUCGCCGGCCGGCGUUUGGCGGAAAAUUGGCUGGCGCAACUGAAUAUAGCAUGCUCGUAACUUUAGAUAGGUCUACGUUUAUUACCAGCAGAGUGAAAUAGUAAAGGUCAUGUAAACUAUUUUUAUUGUUCCUCGCAUUUCUAUCACGUUUAUAUAAAAGGAUUACAUUUUGUUUCGGCUUAAUUUAAUGAGUAGGGAUGAACAAGACCUUCAUUAAAUAAAAAUUAAGUGCAUUUAAUCUUGUAUACCUAUCAUUUUAUACAUAUGCGUAAUUAAUUAUUAUGUAAGUCUA